Long non-coding RNA from Miniopterus natalensis, 929 nucleotides. RefSeq lists it as uncharacterized. The record is from RefSeq and is a predicted model, not a curated record. Lineage: Eukaryota; Metazoa; Chordata; Mammalia; Chiroptera; Miniopteridae.
CGAGGAAAACCAGUCUGCGGGAGCUGAGUCCCAGAGGAUGAGGACGGUGACCUUCAGAGUCAGAAUCUCUGGACUCUCGACAGGGCGUUGAAUCUGGGCUCUGGCUGAGCUGGGCCAACAUGCAGCAGGACCAGGAGAGCAGAGCCGUGGAAAAGAGUGGACCCCAUGGUCCUACUGGAUCCGUCUCACCUGGAUGAAUCCAUCUCUCCCUGGAGUGUGGCUGCUCACAGCGUUAUUUCCUAGAGGAAGUGACCCAGGACAUCUGUGACGGGGUCAUUAAGCCUUUUGGUGGACGAUUCCUUGCAGUUAACUUCAUCUGCAGCCUGCAUGCUUAUGCAGAAUUCAUGAAGACGAGGACCACCGGCCACCUCUUCAGAGAGAUUCUGGAAGCACCUACUGGCAGGUCUGCAGAUGCUGAACACCCCGGGGGAUCGUAACAGAGCAAGGACGUCACAGGCAGCUGAGAGGACGGUGUGGGAUCCUCUGUGCCCCGGGCAGAGCCCGUGUUUAGCCAGCAGUGUUUCAUCUCUGAGAGUCAGAAGGGAGCAGGUGUGGUCGUGCUGUGGGCAGGGCCGUGUGCACCUUUGGCCACUUUCUAGGCAGCUGGAUUCGUCCUGUUUCUGCUGUAAGUGUUGAACGUAAGCAUCUUAAUGUGUUUUAAUGACCUGCACUAUCUUCUCCGCUCUGCUAAUAAAAUUCUGACUCACCCCCAAUCUGAGUGGUUAUUACAGUCACAGAAAAGUACCUACCUGAUACCUGUUCCUGCUGUUUUAAAGGCGAUUUCUUUUCCUUUUCAUGUCUGGAGAUAUUUUUGUACUCAAGCUCUAAAGGGACUAGACUACAAGUUUCUCUGAGUUAAAGCAUAAUCCUACCAAAAUCAAUGGGAUUUUUAUAUGAAAUAUUGAUCCGGCGUCUGCCGCUUUUCCGUU